CAGCAAGCCACGGUAAUACGAAGGGGGCUAGCGUUGCUCGGAAUGACUGGGCGUAAAGGGCGCGUAGGCGGCGAUCAAAGUCAGGCGUGAAAUUCCUGGGCUCAACCUGGGGGCUGCGCUUGAUACUUGGUUGCUUGAGUGGGGAAGAGGGUCGUGGAAUUCCCAGUGUAGAGGUGAAAUUCGUAGAUAUUGGGAAGAACACCGGUGGCGAAGGCUGCGACCUGGUCCUUGACUGACGCUGAGGCGCGAAAGCGUGGGGAGCAAACAGGAUUAGAUACCCCCGUAGUCCCUGUCUCUUAUA
RNAcentral lists this ribosomal RNA (301 nucleotides) under uncultured bacterium. RNAcentral's name for it is "partial 16S ribosomal RNA". It matches the Rfam family "Bacterial small subunit ribosomal RNA", at positions 509 to 808 of the family's 1533-position model. The record is from RNAcentral.